Molecule: long non-coding RNA, 1096 nt
Organism: Meriones unguiculatus (Mongolian gerbil)
Lineage: Eukaryota; Metazoa; Chordata; Mammalia; Rodentia; Muridae
Exons: 3
Source: RefSeq, a predicted model, not a curated record
AGCAACCCAGGGCGUCGGAAGCCCAGAGGGUUCCAGAGGGGAGAGAGCGACACAGUGACGGGCUGUCCCAUCGCAGGGGCCAUCUGCCAAGUCCCCCUGCUCCGGGGAGGCCGGUGCUUCUGGCUUCUCCAUUGGUUGGAUCGAACAGAUGCAGUGAUCACGAGCGAGCGAGCACGCCUCCUCAGGGAGCCUCCACAUUCCAGGAGCAACUCCAAACGCUGAGUCAUCGCCCGGCACCAACAGCUCCUUCCUCGGAAUCUCACGCUUACCUCUCGAAAACCACACUUCCCACACCCACAGCACCUCACGGCAUAUAUAGACCCUGACCUGCUAACAAUUAUUCUCACUUAUCCCCUCCCACGCGGUCUAAACAACUCCGGCUGCUGAUAAAUCCCAGGGGCUGCCUACAGUAGCCUCUCUCCAUCCUGUCCAAGGCAGUCUUUUGGGGGAAGAAGCAGAGACUUCUGUGGGUUACCCUGUGGGGUACAAGGGUGCCAGGAAACCUACUCGGUGUGUUUCAAAAGUAUGGCCCUAAGGAGCACCCAGCCUCUGGGUCACCAAAGGGAUCCCCCAAAGGCUCCGUAAGGCAUCCCACUCCAACGCAGAGCAUCCUGAACAGAGCCACGAGGAAGACGUGGAUUGACAUGGGGCAAAAAGAGGCUGACUGCACGGAUACAGUCCUGUGGGACAGCUCCUUGGGAGAGUAGGACACUGAUAUCCUUGCAAAUCCUUGGCCUCAGCACAAAACUGGGGAGGACAGUCUAGUCCUCGGGCCCCAGACAAACCCAGAGAGGCGCUAUCCGGAGCUGGAUGGGAUGCAGUGCCCACACCCUCCUAGAAGUUGGAUUCCUUCCAUGCAUCCGUCUCCAGGACUGUCACAGAGAGAGGCAGGCCCAGGGCCAGAAAUCUCACUCCCCUAGGAGACACGUGUGACCAUCUCUAAUGGAGUACCCACAGGGAGAAGUUGAGCAAUAGAACAGGGACUGAGGCAGCUGAUGAACCAUCUUUAGUCCAGGAUUUCCUUGUUAAGAAGCCUGAUGUGAUACUGAUAUCCUGCUCCGCCUGUUCCUUCUGGAGAUCCUCCAGCAAGCCCAGC